RNAcentral lists this long non-coding RNA (1711 nucleotides) under Rattus norvegicus (Norway rat). Its description in RNAcentral is "long non-coding RNA NONRATT002758". Lineage: Eukaryota; Metazoa; Chordata; Mammalia; Rodentia; Muridae. The record is from RNAcentral.
UCCACUCCUGCACUUUGGCACCCCCACCCGAUCCUAGCCUGUCAUGGCCUCCCCCUCCAUGGGUGCUAGGAGGAGGUGACUCUAUGUACCAGCUUCAUUGGGCUGCUUCCUCUGUGAAGGAAUCCGAGAUCUCGAGAGUCAAUGAAUGUUCUAUUCAGCAUGAGUGACCAGGGCAAGGACCUGCUGGACAGUGUGUGAUUGGUUCACCAUGACAUAAGGGACGCUGCUCAUGGGAAGUGGGGUCACAGGGUGGGCUUCACACUGCAAGACUUGAAAGGGGAGCAGUUAUACCCCUUAGAUGUGUUCUUGGGAGAAAUGAUACACUUGGUCUCAUUAUGUGAAGUGGGGUAGGGAUAAAGAGACAGGGAAAUAACUGCCAACGUGGCCUCCUCCCUGCCAACACUAAUUUUCCCUGCACUAUCUCUGUACAUUUCAAAGGUUUGGUCUUCUGGGUGGCGUCCGUUUUCCCUCACUGUCAGGGAAAGUUGGCUCCCUCUGGCUGACUUUAGAGUACUGUGACUUGGGCAUUGCUGAUGCCGCAUGGGGCUUACUUGUCUGGGGGAGUGGGCUAAGUGGGUGUAGGGGUGCAGAUGGGGGUGGGGGUAGUAGAACCAGGAAAAUGGGAAUCCCUGGUGGGUUUCUGAUUCCUGUGGUGAGGAGGAGAGUCACAGUCCUGGGGAUGGAAAUGGAGGUGGCCUGCUGCUGAGUCACCUGCUGGUGAGCCCCGACGUGGACAUACAUGCAGAUGGGCCAGCAAGCAGCAAGUUGUCAGUAUUGGCGUGGGUCGGCAAAUGGUAGCUGCAUCUUAGUUCCUAACAGCUUGAAGGGGCAGACUGCACAGACCCGAACAUCUUGACAGUUGAGAUGUGGACAGGUGAAAAGCUACAUUUCCAUUACAAGUUGUUACUUUAAGAUCUGUAGAGUGUAAACCUAAGUUAAAAUUUCCCCCAAAUCACAAGCAUCUGUGAUGGGGUAGCCAAGCUGUUGAGUUGACAGGAGGCUGGUCGGCGUCAGGUUGGGUUGGGUUGUGGGACUGAUGGGUUGUGUCAUUGAAUGGCUCUUCUCAGUGUCUGGAUACUGGGCUGGGCCUUGGGUUUUACUCACUUUCAGUAUAGCUUGUCAGUAUUGUUAAGGUAUCCAAAGCCUUUCUAGAUCGAGACAGGAAAACUGACUUGAACAUAUGGUAGGUGUGCCUCUGUAAGAAUCCAGGCUCAUUCUGAGUUGAUGAAAAGUCUUAUUUGGACAUAUGCAGGGUUUGGCUCCCUGAACACUCUUGGGGGGGGGGGUCAUCUGACACAGUACCAUUUAGUGACUUUCCCAAGAUAAGCAUGAGUUGUGUCCUUGAGUGAAACAUUGGCCAUGCAUGGCUGUGGUGGGCCAUUGCUUUUGCUGCUUUAGAGCACCACGGACCUGGCUGGUGCUGAGCUGGUCCCUACAGCUAAUGCUCGGUAAACUGUCACCUUCUGGCCUCCUCAUGGCACCGGGUCCUUCGUCUUCAUGUGCAUGCAUGACUUGCAGUAGAGCCUACUCACUGCAUGGGAGUCCCUGGCUAGAGUCUGCUGCCUGGCGGCUUGCAGCGACGGCUCAGUCAAGGCUGAAAGGUCUUUGGCCACACAGUGAAAAGUGAACCAUAGAUGGAGCUUGCUGACCCCACUGACACUACCUGUGUUUGGUUUGCUGGGCUCUUGGUGCUGGGAGUGCAGCAAGCACA